RNAcentral lists this long non-coding RNA (297 nucleotides) under Zosterops lateralis melanops. Its description in RNAcentral is "lncRNA (ENSZLMG00000002452.1)". Lineage: Eukaryota; Metazoa; Chordata; Aves; Passeriformes; Zosteropidae. The record is from RNAcentral.
GGCCUUGUGGAAGCACUUUGAAAAGCUUUGUUUGGCAGAAAGCAAUGGACAGGUUUCUACAAGUGCUUCCAGCUUCUGUGGAGGAUGAAAAGCUUUUGGUAGAUGUCCUAAGAUUUUUAAACAAAUUGUUUAGAGAGCAGAAAUCAAAUCUGGAGUCAGACCAUCUAAAGUGGUUCUUGAAAUCAUUGCUUAAAAAUCAACCAAAAUCCCUUAUGGGCCUUCUGGUGCGACCAGAAUCCCAAGGGCAGGAUGAAAUGGAUGAAACACAGGCUGCGGUCAGGCAACGACUGGAUAAAG